This 253-nucleotide ribosomal RNA is filed under the name uncultured bacterium. RNAcentral's name for it is "partial 16S ribosomal RNA". It matches the Rfam family "Bacterial small subunit ribosomal RNA", at positions 524 to 776 of the family's 1533-position model. The record is from RNAcentral.
UACAGAGGUCUCGAGCGUUGUUCGGAUUCAUUGGGCGUAAAGGGUGCGUAGGCGGCGUGGUAAGUCUGGUGUGAAAUCCUGGGGCUUAACUCCAGAAAUGCACUGGAUACUGCCAUGCUAGAGGACUGGAGAGGAGAUUGGAAUUCACGGUGUAGCAGUGAAAUGCGUAGAUAUCGUGAGGAAGACCAGUGGCGAAAGCGAAUCUCUGGACAGUUCCUGACACUGAGGCACGAAGGCCAGGGGAGCAAACGGG